Molecule: ribosomal RNA, 305 nt
Filed under: uncultured bacterium
Lineage: Bacteria
Description: bacterial SSU rRNA
Rfam family: Bacterial small subunit ribosomal RNA
Source: RNAcentral
UGGCACCUACGGGACGCAGCAGUGGGGGAUAUUGCACAAUGGGGAAAACCCUGAUGCAGCGACGCCGCGUGGGUGAAGAAGCGCCUCGGCGCGUAAAGCCCUGUCAGCAGGGAAGAAAAUGACGGUACCUGAAGAAGAAGCCCCGGCUAACUACGUGCCAGCAGCCGCGGUAAUACGUAGGGGGCAAGCGUUAUCCGGAUUUACUGGGUGUAAAGGGGGCGCAGACGGCGAUGCAAGCCAGGAGUGAAAGCCCGGGGCCCAACCCCGGGACUGCUCUUGGAACUGCGCGGCUAGAGUGCAGGGGG